ACAGUGGACGCGAGCAUCUUUGAUCUUUUGUGGUCAAGUUUUUAAGAGCAUUCGGUGGAUGCCUUGGCACCAGGAGCCGAUGAAGGACGUUGUAGCCUGCGAUAAGCCUCGGGGAGCUGGCAAACGAGCUGUGAUCCGAGGGUGUCCGAAUGGGGAAACCCGGCCGCAGUCAUGUGCGGUUACCCGCGCCUGAAUAUAUAGGGCGUGUGGAGGGAACGUGGGGAAGUGAAACAUCUCAGUACCCACAGGAAGAGAUAUUCCGUGAGUAGUGGCGAGCGAAAGCGGAUGAGGCUAAACCGGGGGUGUGUGAUAGCCGGCGGGCGUUGCACCUUCGGGGUCGUGGGACCCGCUGACCAUCUCUGCCGGGGUGGUGAGGAGUGAGAAAGUCCAGGUGUAGUCGAACGGUCUGGGAAGGCCGGGCAUAGUGGGUGAGACCCCCGUAGACGAAACGCCUGGGCCUCCUUGUGGGGAUCCCGAGUAGCACGGGGCCCGUGAAAUCCCGUGUGAAUCUGCCAAGACCACUUGGUAAGCCUAAAUACUACCUGGUGACCGAUAGCGGACUAGUACCGUGAGGGAAAGGUGAAAAGUACCCCGGGAGGGGAGUGAAAUAGUACCUGAAACCGGAUGCUUACAAUCCGUCGGAGCCUCCUUUGCAGGGGUGACGGCGUGCCUUUUGAAGAAUGAGCCUGCGAGUUAGUGGUGCGUGGCGAGGUUAACCCGGGUGGGGAAGCCGUAGCGAAAGCGAGUCCGAACAGGGCGAUUUAGUCGCGUGCUCUAGACCCGAAGCGAAGUGAUCUACCCAUGGGCAGGUUGAAGCACGUGUAAGAGCGUGUGGAGGACCGAACCCACUUAGGUUGAAAACUGAGGGGAUGACCUGUGGGUAGGGGUGAAAGGCCAAUCAAACUUCGUGAUAGCUGGUUCUCCCCGAAAUGCAUUUAGGUGCAGCGUCACGUGUUUCUUGCCGGAGGUAGAGCUACUGGAUGGCCGAUGGGCCCUACAAGGUUACUGACGUCAACCAAACUCCGAAUGCCGGUAAGUGAAGCGUGGCAGUGAGACUGCGGGGGAUAAGCUUCGUAGUCGAGAGGGAAACAGCCCAGACCACCAGCUAAGGCCCCUAAGCGUGUGCUAAGUGGGAAAGGAUGUGGAGUUGCACAGACAACCAGGAGGUUGGCUUAGAAGCAGCCAUCCUUGAAAGAGUGCGUAAUAGCUCACUGGUCAAGUGAUUCUGCGCCGACAAUGUAGCGGGGCUCAAGCACACCGCCGAAGCUGUGGCAUCCACGCAGACCCUCGCCAGGACUUGAUCCUGGUGCCGGGGCGUGGGUGGGUAGGGGAGCGUCGUGUGGGAGGUGAAGCGCCGGGGUGACCCAGGUGUGGAUCCCACACGAGUGAGAAUGCAGGCAUGAGUAGCGAAAGACGGGUGAGAAACCCGUCCGCCGAAUGACCAAGGGUUCCAGGGCCAGGUUAAUCCGCCCUGGGUAAGUCGGGACCUAAGGCGAGGCCGACAGGCGUAGUCGAUGGACAACGGGUUGAUAUUCCCGUACCGGCGAAGGACCGACCAUACCGAGCCCGGUGAUGCUAACCACCCAACGGUGGCCACCGUUUCCUUCGGGAAGCACCGGUCACCCGCGCGUGGGACCCGAUCCGGUAGUAGGUAAGCGUGUUAACAGGGGUGACGCAGACAGGUAGCCACCGCGUGCUUAAUGGCAAUGCACGUCCAAGGUUGCAGGGCGGGGUGCAGGCAAAUCCGCACCCCAUCAAGCCUCAGGACCGAUGGUGACCCCGUAGGGGG
This is a ribosomal RNA of 1789 nucleotides. It matches the Rfam family "Bacterial large subunit ribosomal RNA", at positions 1 to 1585 of the family's 2925-position model.